AUGCUUACUUUGGUAGCACAUAUACUAAAAUUAAAAUGAUACAGAGAUUAGCAUGGUCCCUACACAAGGAUGACAUGCAAAUUCAUGAAGCAUUCCAUAUUUUU
Sciurus carolinensis (gray squirrel) is the source of this 104-nucleotide small nuclear RNA. NCBI's taxonomy places the organism in Eukaryota, Metazoa, Chordata, Mammalia, Rodentia, Sciuridae. The record is from RefSeq and is a predicted model, not a curated record.